Mauremys mutica (yellowpond turtle) is the source of this 3267-nucleotide long non-coding RNA. RefSeq lists it as uncharacterized. NCBI's taxonomy places the organism in Eukaryota, Metazoa, Chordata, Testudines, Geoemydidae. The record is from RefSeq and is a predicted model, not a curated record. The transcript is spliced from 3 exons.
GGCUCCGGCUGCAGUGAGCUGAGGUGGAGGGGAAAUGUGGGGCUUUCCCCAGUGGCUGGUAGAAGUCCACAAGGUUUGGUGGAGCCAAGCCUCAGGAGAGCCUAGGGUUGGACUACAGAGCUGCCUGGAGGAGGGGUGAGGAAGGAAGGAAGGAAGAAGCCUAGGCAGUGCAGGGAGGAGGUCUGUGAUGGAUGCCUGCCUGCCUUUAUUUAGGCUCCAAGGAGUUCUGACUAGGGUGGGAGGAACCCCACCCCUCUGGUCCUGUGCCAAUGGGCCAGUGACUUGCUGAGCAGAGUAGGGGAGCCUGGGAAGGGCACUAAGAGAAGCUACAGAGCUUAAAGGAGGCAAAUGCUGUCUAGCCCAGGAAGGGUGCAUCCUGCCUCAGUGACACUCCUGGUGUGUGUUUUGCUGGCCCCUUGUUUCCCCCCUGGAAGGGGUGGGCUGUCAGCUGGAGGAUCCCAAGCACCACUGUGGACUCUGAGUAUGUGGAAGCACUGGGGAAACGGAGGAAUGGAUCUGUGAUCACUUCCAGACAGACUGCAAGUUGUUCAAGGCAGGGCAUGGCUCUCACUCCGGGUCCACACCGUGGCUGGCACAAGGGGACCCUGCUCACGGCUGGUGCUUCUGGAAUGCAGAUAAGUAAUCAUCUGGCGCUCGCCCUGCAUCUACCCAUUGCAAAGGCUGCAGCCUCCUUGGGCGCAUUGGCAACUGCUCAAUAGGAGUUAACAUCUCUGACAGUGCAGAAAUAAGCAGCCAAAACCAGCCUGUGGGGGAGUCAGCUUAUGGGUGUGCUCUCCUCACACACGCCCUGCGGUCACUCCGGAGAUCAGGGGAGUCACUCCCAUGUGCGAGCCAGUCAGACCCACUCUGCUGGGCCGUGCCUGCUCCUGACAGGUGCUGGCUCCCUCCUGCUGGGGGAUGAGCACCCUCAUCUCCCCAGGAGAUGUCUGCUUGGGCCUCAUUUGUAGGCCCAUGCCAGACCCAGCCCAAGUCCGAGGGGCUUGCACAUUCCAAGGUCUCCGACAUCUGUGUUUCCGCAUUCCCCUUCAUCUGUCCGGGGGAAAUAUGGCCCUGCAUGUGCUGCCAGAGACCAACCCGGCUCCCUUCGGCAAAGCAAAGCGAUGCAGGGACAUAAGAGGAAAGGUCAGCCCAGGCAUGUAGGAGGUGAUUUAUGCCACCAGCAAUAACAGGCAAAGGUAGGGCGUAUUUUAACAUCCUCCUUCCCACUGCCAGGGCUGUAGCCUCCUGGCCCAGCACCAUGUCCUCAGGCUAUCAGCUGGCAUUUACUCCUCUGAGUCCCACCCCCUCUCUUUCCUCUGCUGCCUCUUGCGCACACUGUAAUUCAGCCCUCAAAGGCUCGGCGCCCCCAGGGCCUCUCCAGGUCUAGCUAGCAAGGCCUGGAGACAGCGGUGGUGGUAAAUGUGUGCCUGGGCCUCUCUGGCAGGAAAGCUGUAUUGGCUGGCCUAGAGGGGCAGCAGCGUUGGAGUCUGCCGGGCUGGCCCGGGGGCAGGACUUUGCUGUGGAAGGUGGGAUUUUGCAGCAACCUGGCUUGCAGGGAUGGGUUGCUCAGCUUCUGUUCAGCUACGUGUACGUUUCCUCUCUGUUUUCCUGUGUCUCCAGCUGAAAAGCCCUUUGCCGAAUGAUGUCCGGCUCACUCCCUUCUCACCUCAUUGCUGCGACCUCGCCCCGCCCAGAGCCUCUCUGUCUGGAUCAGCUGUGAAUGAUGGACGCACCACCACUCAAUGCAGGGAAAGCCAUCACCCCCCCACCACCACCACCAGGACACGCAGGCCUCACUUCAGCGCAUUGCAACAUGACAUGAGGAGGCUGGCACAACUUCCCCCUGCCGCGGCACCAGGCCAGCAUCCCACAGCGUGACGGGACAGCACGGGGCUGUGUCACGGCAUGAAACAGACACGUGGCUAGCCCGGAAAGGGACACUGGGGCCUAUGUGGUCUCCCAUCAGCAUCACGUGUGGCAGGAUCCUGGAACUACUGGAAUGCAACUGGGCCUGACACAGCUUGAGAGAAAAAACCUUCCUCCCUCAUUGGUGGCCUCACUGGCCUUUGUGCAGCAGCCAGGAUGGGGCCUUGGCAUCUCCUAGGUGCCAGUGGAGUUACACCCCCUUACUGUGUGUCUGUGACAGAUAACACCACCCCCCUUGCUCAGUGCAGCUCCACCUCUGCAGUGCCAUCCAGGCUCUGGCUAGCCCAUUCCCAUCCAUCUGCCCUUCAUUGGAGGCCGCUCCUGACAAGAGAAGCCUCGGAGGGAUAGUAACGCAAUGAAUAAAAAGCGCCUCGCAAGCGUACACAAAAAAAUUAAAACCUCGUUUGUGUCUGCCGAGCAAACCAACCACGGCUAAUUAAAUGCUGUAACAAUGGGACAUUAUACAAAUGGCUGCUGUCGCCGAAAAGCACAGCUGGGGACAUGCACUUCCAUUUCUACCUCAGCCUUCGGAGCCAGGGGGUGAGGCGCCUUUCCCAGCGAUGUCAAGCGGCAGGCAGAGGAGGGAGGGAGAGGAGAGACGCGCACAAACAGCACAAUUGUUCUAACCCUGCCUCCCAGGCGGUCUCUCGCGCUCGGCAAUCAGUGCCAACUUUGGGGUUUGUUUCCAUCGCUCUUGUACCGUUGCUCUAUUGACGACCCCUCUCUCUCUAUGGCAACGUGGAGGAGCUGGAGUCCUGGCUGCGCUGGGAAAGGACACUCAGCUCGCCCCGCGCCCUCAAGAGGAUCGUUGCUCUUUGCUUUCUGUUCCAUCUCCCGCCACACGCGGAUGCUCGGGUUUGGGGGGAGCUAUCUGUAUUGUCUGAAACCCAGCAUCAGUGGAACUGCACUACUAGCCCAGACCAUCUGUGGUCCUUACCUGGCCCUCAUCCCCGCAGUAUCUGCGUGGGUCACAAUCCUUAAUGUAUUUAUCCUUGCUCAGUAAGGCAGCGUUACGUUGGACAGUGGGGGGACAGAGAUGCAGAGACGCUAGGUGACUUGCCCAUGGUCACACAGGAAAUCCAUGGCAGGGCCAGGAAUUGAACACUGAAUUCUGAGUCCCAGUCCAGCUAGCUCAGGGUCCUGCGUCCACUGCCUCACAAGCUGAGACGUUCCCCUGGGCUCACCAUAAUGUGGUUGGCUAAUUGCACCGUGGCUUGUCAUGGGAGAGGGAUCGUCUCUCCUAACCCCAGCUGGUGAUCAGAUUAUGACAUGCCUGACAAUUGCUACACGCUUUUGGUAGCUCUCAUUUUUUAAUCUCUUGUCUAGUGUAACUUGCAUAAU